CGGGGUGAGUAACGCGUGGGUAACCUGCCUCAUACAGGGGGAUAACAGUUAGAAAUGACUGCUAAUACCGCAUAAGCGCACAGUGCUACAUGGCACAGUGUGAAAAACUCCGGUGGUAUGAGAUGGACCCGCGUCUGAUUAGCUAGUUGGUGGGGUAACGGCCUACCAAGGCGACGAUCAGUAGCCGGCCUGAGAGGGUGAACGGCCACAUUGGGACUGAGACACGGCCCAA
RNAcentral lists this ribosomal RNA (232 nucleotides) under uncultured bacterium. RNAcentral describes it as "partial 16S ribosomal RNA". It matches the Rfam family "Bacterial small subunit ribosomal RNA", at positions 104 to 334 of the family's 1533-position model. The record is from RNAcentral.